UUCCCCUUAUGCACCACAAAUCAAUCUUGAGAUAUAAUAUAUCACAUGUAAAUUGUUCAUCUAAAAGUGAAUGAUUGGAGACAUUAAAAUUAAUAACCCCCAACCUAUUCUCAAACUUGAAAUAGGUAAGGCAUAAAGAUUGCUCCAAUGAACCCUAGCUAUGCAAUUGAAGCUCCAAGAAUGGAUGCAAAAUGAACCAAAAACUCCCAAAAUGUGUACUAACUCAUAUCUCACAAGAUUAAAAUAAUAAAAUAGUGGUCAUAGAGGUCAAAAUUCUCUAAAGAGUGUGUAACAACUCAUUAUCAAAUCAAUUUGCCAUAAAAAUGAAUGGUGCUCAAGUGUGCUACCUAUGCUAGUCAUUAUUGUAGUGAUUGCGAGGCAUCAAUGAGUAAAGGAGCAUGGAGGUAGUGGUGUAGCACAAGCGUAAGUGAAAUGCCUUUAAUG
Molecule: non-coding RNA, 444 nt
Filed under: Selaginella moellendorffii
Lineage: Eukaryota; Viridiplantae; Streptophyta; Lycopodiopsida; Selaginellales; Selaginellaceae
Description: Eukaryotic large subunit ribosomal RNA
Rfam family: Eukaryotic large subunit ribosomal RNA
Source: Rfam by way of RNAcentral